AUUGAACGCUGGCGGCAGGCCUAACACAUGCAAGUCGAACGAGUGGCGGACGGGUGAGUAAUGUCUGGGAAACUGCCCGAUGGAGGGGGAUAACUACUGGAAACGGUAGCUAAUACCGCAUACUAUCGGAUGUGCCCAUAUGGGAUUAGCUAGUUGGUGGGGUAAAGGCUCACCAAGGCGACGAUCCCUAGCUGGUCUGAGAGGAUGACCAGCCACACUGGAACUGAGACACGGCCCAGACUCCUACGGGAGGCAGCAGUGGGGAAUAUUGCACAAUGGGCGCAAGCCUGAUGCAGCCAUGCCGCGUGUAUGAAGAAGGCCUUAGGGUUGUAAAGUACUUGCAGCGGGGAGGCGUUACCCGCAGAAGAAGCACCGGCUAACUCCGUGCCAGCAGCCGCGGUAAUAC
This 406-nucleotide ribosomal RNA is filed under the name uncultured bacterium. RNAcentral's name for it is "partial 16S ribosomal RNA". It matches the Rfam family "Bacterial small subunit ribosomal RNA", at positions 30 to 526 of the family's 1533-position model. The record is from RNAcentral.